RNAcentral lists this ribosomal RNA (253 nucleotides) under uncultured bacterium. RNAcentral describes it as "partial 16S ribosomal RNA". It matches the Rfam family "Bacterial small subunit ribosomal RNA", at positions 524 to 776 of the family's 1533-position model. The record is from RNAcentral.
UACGAAGGGGGCUAGCGUUGUUCGGAAUUACUGGGCGUAAAGCGUGCGCAGGCGGCUUCUCAAGUCAGGGGUGAAAGCCCAGAGCUCAACUCUGGAAUUGCCUUUGAGACUGAGAGGCUUGAGUACGGGAGAGGUGAGUGGAAUUCCCAGUGUAGAGGUGAAAUUCGUAGAUAUUGGGAAGAACACCGAUGGCGAAGGCGGCUCACUGGCCCGAAACUGACGCUCAUGCACGACAGCGUGGGGAUCAAACAGG